Molecule: long non-coding RNA, 654 nt
Filed under: Marmota monax (woodchuck)
Lineage: Eukaryota; Metazoa; Chordata; Mammalia; Rodentia; Sciuridae
Source: RNAcentral
GCGGCGUUGGCGUUCGCGUCUGCGAGGAGCGAGACCCAGGCGGAAAAGGAGUCUGACGAGCAGACAAAAGAGCGAGAGGGGCUGGGGACAAAGUUCUCCGAUGGCCUCGGAGGUUUCGAGCAGCCGGCAGAGAAAGAAAAUAUUUGGGCAGUCUGAGCAAAAGCACUGUCUCUCCCAGGAGUUAUGUAAUUUUCCCACAGCGUUGGCCUCCGUGCCUUGAGUUCGGGCCAUCAGCUAAUUCUCAUAACUUCUUCCAAUUGCAACGUUAGGGACGACUGUAAGUGAAGGUUAGCCGUGUUCCAAGAGCUCUAUGCCCUGUACACAGCAGGAGCUCAAUAAAUGCUUAAGAUUUGACUACAACUGUCCCAUAGGUAAUGUUUAUAUAACUCUUGUUAAAGAACCUGGAGUAGGUAUGAAACUCAAAGUAUUCCCAGAAGAGUAUUUUUCUUACAUUGCACUUCCAUGUCCUCACAAUGUGUAGAGUGGUGUGUCAUGCACCCCACACUAACGUUUAACUGCUGGUGCCCUAAUAGAGACAGCUAUGUUUUAUCUAAUAUCUUCAUAAAUCCAUAUGACCCUUUUCGUUAUAUUUCAGAGGUUAAUAUGUGCAAUUAACCUCUUGAUGUGAGUUCAUUUCUAAAUAAAACAAAAUAG